Molecule: ribosomal RNA, 468 nt
Filed under: uncultured bacterium
Lineage: Bacteria
Description: partial 16S ribosomal RNA
Rfam family: Bacterial small subunit ribosomal RNA
Source: RNAcentral
GACGAACGCUGGCGGCGUGCUUAACACAUGCAAGUCGAACGGUGAAGCUCCAGCUUGCUGGAGUGGAUCAGUGGCGAACGGGUGAGUAACACGUGAGCAACCUGCCCCUGACUCUGGAAUAAGCGCUGGAAACGGCGUCUAAUACUGGAUACGAGAAGGGUCCGCAUGGGCACUUUCUGGAAAGUUUUUCGGUUGGGGAUGGGCUCGCGGCCUAUCAGCUUGUUGGUGAGGUAAUGGCUCACCAAGGCGACGACGGGUAGCCGGCCUGAGAGGGCGACCGGCCACACUGGGACUGAGACACGGCCCAGACUCCUACGGGAGGCAGCAGUGGGGAAUAUUGCACAAUGGGCGAAAGCCUGAUGCAGCGACGCCGCGUGAGGGAUGACGGCCUUCGGGUUGUAAACCUCUUUCAGCAGGGAAGAAGCGAAAGUGACGGUACCUGCAGAAGAAGCACCGGCUAUCUACGUG